RNAcentral lists this microRNA precursor (94 nucleotides) under Callithrix jacchus (white-tufted-ear marmoset). Its description in RNAcentral is "microRNA cja-mir-9927 precursor". Lineage: Eukaryota; Metazoa; Chordata; Mammalia; Primates; Cebidae. The record is from miRBase by way of RNAcentral.
CACCCCAGGCCCACGCUCUGCAGUCCGCCGCCCUCUUCUGGACACCGAGGUGGAAGAGAGCUGCGAACUGAGAAGCCGUCUUCUGGGCAGGGUG